AAUGAUCAUGUGGUUCUGUUCUUUC
RNAcentral lists this non-coding RNA (25 nucleotides) under Rattus norvegicus (Norway rat). The record is from RNAcentral. Lineage: Eukaryota; Metazoa; Chordata; Mammalia; Rodentia; Muridae.